AUCCAGCUGAUGAGUCCCAAAUAGAACGAGACCCACCUCCUGGAU
Molecule: non-coding RNA, 45 nt
Filed under: Schistosoma margrebowiei
Lineage: Eukaryota; Metazoa; Platyhelminthes; Trematoda; Strigeidida; Schistosomatidae
Source: RNAcentral